Molecule: ribosomal RNA, 762 nt
Filed under: Entoloma sp. TH9137
Lineage: Eukaryota; Fungi; Basidiomycota; Agaricomycetes; Agaricales; Entolomataceae
Description: eukaryotic LSU rRNA
Rfam family: 5.8S ribosomal RNA (bases 234-387)
Source: RNAcentral
AAAUAUGAGUUAGGUUGCUGCUGGCUUUUUUUGGAGCAUGUGCACACCAACUUCAUUUUUAUCUUUCCCUGUGCACCCCUGCAUGGAUCUGAAUCUUGAGGAAACUCAGUUUUGAGAACUGUUGUGCUAUGAAGCCAACUUUUUUCAGCUUCAGAUUUAUGUAUUCUUUAACACCCCAUACAUGUAUGAAUGUUUACUUAUUGGCCUUUGUGCCUUUAAAAAUAAAAACACACAACUUUCAACAACGGAUCUCUUGGCUCUCGCAUCGAUGAAGAACGCAGCGAAAUGCGAUAAGUAAUGUGAAUUGCAGAAUUCAGUGAAUCAUCGAAUCUUUGAACGCACCUUGCGCUCCUUGGCAUUCCGAGGAGCAUGCCUGUUUGAGUGUCAUGAAAUUCUCAACCUUUCUUAGUUGAUUUCUUCGGCCAAGAUAGGAUUGGAUCAUGGAAGCUGCUGGCUGUUCAAGUUAGUUAGCUCUUCUAAAAUGUAUCUGCCCAAGACCUUUGCUCGAUCAUCUUUGAUAUGAUAAUUAUCUAUAUCAUCGGUAAUCUUGUGUUCUUUUUUGGAAUGGUCUUUGCAACAAAAGUCUUUUUAGACAAUUCUGAUAACUUUGACCUCAAAUCAGGUAGGACUACCCGCUGAACUUAAGCAUAUCAAUAAAGCGGAGGAAAAAAAACUAACAAGGAUUCCCCUAGUAACUGCGAGUGAAGCGGGAAAAGCUCAAAUUUAAAAUCUAGUAGCCUUUGGCUGCUCGAGUUGUAAUCU